Oncorhynchus tshawytscha (Chinook salmon) is the source of this 498-nucleotide long non-coding RNA. Lineage: Eukaryota; Metazoa; Chordata; Actinopteri; Salmoniformes; Salmonidae. The record is from Ensembl.
GAUCCAUAUGAUCGAUGGAUCGUUAGAUCGCUUGAUGUGUGUUCAGUACCCUCUGACCUGUCUUCCUUCAGGUGGACGUUGGCCUAUCCAAGAAGAUCCAGGUUGGCAGUGAACCUGGACGUUCUGUGGGACUCCGGAGUACGUGGCUCCAGAGAUCAUUCUGAACAGGGGACACAACUUUAGUGUGGACAUCUGGUCCUUAGACAUCCUGGUCUAUGAGCUGCUCACAGGCAGCUCAGUGCUGGGAGAUGUGUUUGGUUAGAGGACAGGGGAUAAGGUUAGGGGUUAGGGUCAGUGUUGGGAGAUGUGUUUUGGUUAGAGGACAGGGGAUAAGGUUAGGGGUUAGGGUCAGUGCUGGGAGAUGUGUUUGGGUUAGGGGACAGGGGAUAAGGUUAGGGGUUAGGGUCAGUGCUGGGAGAUGUGUUUGGGUUAGGGGUUAGGGUCAGUGCUGGGAGAUGUGGGAUGUGUUCUCUGCGUUUACCUUAAAAGGAUAGUGCG